CUUGACCUCAAAUCAGGUAGGACUACCCGCUGA
RNAcentral lists this ribosomal RNA (33 nucleotides) under Melanogaster ambiguus. Its description in RNAcentral is "partial 28S ribosomal RNA". Lineage: Eukaryota; Fungi; Basidiomycota; Agaricomycetes; Boletales; Melanogastraceae. RNAcentral also lists the same sequence under 1 other name. The record is from RNAcentral.